This 468-nucleotide ribosomal RNA is filed under the name uncultured bacterium. RNAcentral describes it as "partial 16S ribosomal RNA". It matches the Rfam family "Bacterial small subunit ribosomal RNA", at positions 28 to 507 of the family's 1533-position model. The record is from RNAcentral.
GACGAACGCUGGCGGCGUGCUUAACACAUGCAAGUCGAACGUAAAGGCCCUGCUUUUGUGGGGUGCUCGAGUGGCGAACGGGUGAGUAACACGUGAGUAACCUGCCCUUGACUUUGGGAUAACUUCAGGAAACUGGGGCUAAUACCGGAUAGGAGCUCCUGCUGCAUGGUGGGGGUUGGAAAGUUUCGGCGGUUGGGGAUGGACUCGCGGCUUAUCAGCUUGUUGGUGGGGUAGUGGCUUACCAAGGCUUUGACGGGUAGCCGGCCUGAGAGGGUGGCCGGCCACAUUGGGACUGAGAUACGGCCCAGACGCCUACGGGAGGCAGCAGUGGGGAAUAUUGCACAAUGGGCGGAAGCCUGAUGCAGCAACGCCGCGUGCGGGAUGACGGCCUUCGGGUUGUAAACCGCUUUCGCCUGUGACGAAGCGUGAGUGACGGUAAUGGGUAAAGAAACACCGGCUAACUACGUG